GUGCCAGCCGCCGCGGUAAUACGUAGGAUGCAAGCGUUGUCCGGAAUUACUGGGCGUAAAGGGCGAGCAGGUGGCACUACAAGUCUGAUGUAAAAUCUCCCGGCUUAAYUGGGAGGGGCCAUUGGAAACUGUAGAGCUGGAGUGCAGGAGAGGCUAACGGAAUUCCCGGUGUAGUGGUGAAAUGCGUAGAUAUCGGGAGGAACACCAGUGGCGAAGGCGGUUAGCUGGCCUGUAACUGACACUGAGGCGCGAAGGCUAGGGGAGCGAACAGGAUUAGAUACCCUGGUAGUCCUAGCAGUAAACGAUGGAUACUAGGUGUUGGGGGAAAUUGACCCCCUCAGUGCCGCAGCAAACGCAAUAAGUAUCCCGCCUGGGGAGUACGGUCGCAAGAUUAAAACUCAAAGGAAUUGACGGGGGCCCGCACAAGCAGCGGAGCGUGUGGUUUAAUUCGACGCGACGCGAAGAACCUUACCAGGGCUUGACAUGGCACGUUCAGGGGUGGAAACAUCCUGGCCGCAAGGCGAGUGUCACAGAUGCUGCAUGGCUGUCGUCAGCUCGUGUCGUGAGAUGUCGGGUUAAGUCCCGCAACGAGCGCAACCCCUGUGGUUAGUUGAAUGAUCUAACCAGACUGCCGGUAGAAAACCGGAGGAAGGUGGGGAUGACGCCAAGUCAGCAUGGCUCUUACGUCCUGGGCUACACACACGCUACAAUGGUCGGUACAAAGGGUUGCCAAGCCGCGAGGUGGAGCCAAUCCCAAAAAGCCGAUCUCAGUUCGGAUAGCAGGCUGCAACUCGCCUGCUCGAAGUCGGAGUUGCUAGUAACCGUGGGUCAGCACACUACGGUGAAUAUGUUCCCGGGCCUUGCACUCACCGCCCGUC
This 878-nucleotide ribosomal RNA is filed under the name uncultured bacterium. RNAcentral describes it as "bacterial SSU rRNA". It matches the Rfam family "Bacterial small subunit ribosomal RNA", at positions 505 to 1398 of the family's 1533-position model. The record is from RNAcentral.